UCUGUUCUCUUUUGGCCUCAAAACCCUAGCUUCCCUCAGCUUAAACCCUUACUUACUGUCAAAAUCAAAAGCAGGUGUUUUGGAUUGAAGAAGAAACAACAGCCUUUGAUACUAAAAUUAGUGCUACAAUAUGGAAUCAUCGCAAGCUCGGGUUUUUACAAAGCUGAUGAAGAUUUUAACUUUGAAGCCGCAUCACCCCAUUUUAGGAUCACCGCCUUCACUUUCUCUUCUGCAAACGCGCCUUUUCAGUGAUAUGAGAGGACCCUUCAGAGACAACGACCCUAUCAGUUUUAACAGCAAUGGAGAUGGUGACAAGCCUCCAGAGCCUAUUCCCAACAGACCCUUAGAAGGUCAAAGGCCUUUCAAUCCCUCUUUUAGAGAAACCAAAGGAGCCACCCUGAAUAGUAAUGGUUCCUCUUUUCAAUCUUUCAAUACCAAAUUUGCUUCUGAUCCUAACAGGAAGAGAGAGGAUUCUCAAUCUGAUGAAAAUUUCCUGGAAAAAUUCAAGCUUGGGCUUGACAACAAGAGAGGAAAACAGCCCUCAGAUUCAGAAGCUGCAGCCCUGUUACGUAGAAAAGAGCAAGAAGAAAAGCCUUCCCCGCCACAGGAUGCUGAUGAGAUCUUCAAGAAAAUGAAGGAGACUGGUCUUAUCCCCAAUGCCGUAGCCAUGCUUGAUGGGCUCUGUAAAGAUGGUCUUAUCCAAGAAGCAAUGAAGCUUUUCGGAUCAAUGCGGGAGAAAGGUACAAUCCCAGAAGUUGUUAUAUACACAGCUGUUGUUGAUGGCUUCUGCAAAGCCCAUAAGCUUGAUGAUGCAAAGAGAAUUUUCAGGAAGAUGCAGUCUAAAGGUGUAACUCCUAAUUCCUUUAGUUAUAUUGUAUUGAUUCAAGGAUUGUAUAGAUGUAACAAAUUGGAUGAUGCCAUUGAGUUUUGCUUGGAGAUGCUUGAAGCGGGACAUUCCCCUAAUGUGACCACAUUUGUGGGCUUGGUUGAUGGAUUGUGUAAGGAGAAGGGUGUGGAAGAAGCACAGAGUGUUAUUGGAACUUUAAAACAAAAGGGAUUUGUCCUUAAUGAUAAAGCUGUUAGACAAUUUCUGGACAAGAAGGCACCUUUUUCACCUUUGGUUUGGGAAGCAAUAUUUGGGAAGAAACCCUCUCAGAAAACAUUUUAAACUUUUUUUUCCUUACUGUUAGGCUCACAACUUUUAAUGAUGCCUUAAAAUGCAAGAAGGAAACAAAAGGAAAGGAGGAAAGGUGAAAAUCAUCAUAAUUUGUUUGAUUUUUGGCUACUUUUGCUUUUAGUACAGAACAACUGUUGACAAAGAUGGAACCAACUCUCCAGUUCUAGAAAAGCAAAAUGUGCAAUCGCACAAUUUGUCAAAUUCACUUCAAUUGAAAACGUACAUGCAUUCUUGCACUUCGCAUCAGCUGAUCCAGUGCAAAUAGCUACAAGUCUACAACAAUGUUAAAGAUUUUGUGGGUAGAAUGACAAAAACGAGGGCAAUGGUAGAGGUAGCCGUGGCCAGGGGAUGAUGGCUUAGCUAUUAGCAAAUCUAAACAAUAAGAAGUAAAGAUUCAACAGAGGAGCACGACAAGGCCUUUCUGGGGGUGGAAGUAAUCCCUUGGAAGAAAGGAGAUGGUCAAACAAGUUGAUGUGGAUUAGUGACAGUAGUGGGUCCGGUCAAGUAGAGAAAGCAAAGGAAGUAGUGGAGGCAUUGAUUAAAGCAUUAGCAGGCAUCAGUGGCGGUGGGGAAUCUCUCAGGAGUGAAAAGCCUUAGCAUUUCGGUGCAUCUUGGAAGAUCCCCAGCUUGAAGGUCUAAUUGCUGUGAAAUCCCCCUGCCUUGAUGGCACCUACUGUCAAGAACCAAGAUGCAACCACUGCCGGUUGAAUGCUUUAAUCAGCAAGGUCAUCAUCCAAAUCUAUGUUGCAGGAUGAGAGUUUGACAACCUUCAAAGAUAAAUGGAUCUCAUCGCAUCAGAAGUCGGUUAGUAACAGAAAAAAUGGUCGAAUAUAUACUCCCCGGUAUGUCCUGCGCUGGUUGUGCACAGCACGUGGUCAGGCAUUGUUUAUUUUGAAGAGGGUUUCAAGUGAAAGAAGAUACGUCUCCUCUUGAAGAGAAGAAUAGCAUAUUUAAUCAAUUCACAAGGUACCCCAAAGGUUAAAUGCUAAGCGCAACUCACCAAUAGGUUUUCUCAAUGCCCUAUAAGAUCUUUGUGAUUUGGUCGGUCUUAUUUAUUUCCUCGUAAUAGAAAGAUUGUCAAACCUAGGCUGGAGAGGAUUACAACCAACUUAUCUGUGGGUGUUCCCUGUUUUGGUUGUCCCCAUAAUAAGUUGACCAUUAAAUUGAUAAUAUUCAUGUUGUGGUUUUGAUAAGCA
Theobroma cacao (cacao) is the source of this 2373-nucleotide non-coding RNA. The record is from RefSeq and is a predicted model, not a curated record. Lineage: Eukaryota; Viridiplantae; Streptophyta; Magnoliopsida; Malvales; Malvaceae.